UACGUAGGUCCCGAGCGUUGUCCGGAUUUAUUGGGCGUAAAGCGAGCGCAGGUGGUUUAUUAAAUCUGGUGUAAAAGGCAGUGGCUCAACCAUUGUAUGCAUUGGAAACUGGUAGACUUGAGUGCAGGAGAGGAGAGUGGAAUUCCAUGUGUAGCGGUGAAAUGCGUAGAUAUAUGGAGGAACACCGGUGGCGAAAGCGGCUCUCUGGCCUGUAGCUGACACUGAGGCUCGAAAGCGUGGGGAGCAAACAGG
RNAcentral lists this ribosomal RNA (252 nucleotides) under uncultured bacterium. Its description in RNAcentral is "partial 16S ribosomal RNA". It matches the Rfam family "Bacterial small subunit ribosomal RNA", at positions 524 to 776 of the family's 1533-position model. The record is from RNAcentral.